This 558-nucleotide ribosomal RNA is filed under the name Colletotrichum gloeosporioides. RNAcentral describes it as "eukaryotic LSU rRNA". The stretch from base 229 to 382 matches the Rfam family "5.8S ribosomal RNA". The record is from RNAcentral. Lineage: Eukaryota; Fungi; Ascomycota; Sordariomycetes; Glomerellales; Glomerellaceae.
UGGAAGUAAAAAAUCGUAACAAGGUCUCCGUUGGUGAACCAGCGGAGGGAUCAUUACUGAGUUUACGCUCUACAACCCUUUGUGAACAUACCUAUAACUGUUGCUUCGGCGGGUAGGGUCUCCGUGACCCUCCCGGCCCCCCGCCCCCGGGCGGGUCGGCGCCCGCCGGAGGAUAACCAAACUCUGAUUUAACGACGUUUCUUCUGAGUGGUACAAGCAAAUAAUCAAAACUUUUAACAACGGAUCUCUUGGUUCUGGCAUCGAUGAAGAACGCAGCGAAAUGCGAUAAGUAAUGUGAAUUGCAGAAUUCAGUGAAUCAUCGAAUCUUUGAACGCACAUUGCGCCCGCCAGCAUUCUGGCGGGCAUGCCUGUUCGAGCGUCAUUUCAACCCUCAAGCUCUGCUUGGUGUUGGGGCCCUACGGCUGACGUAGGCCCUCAAAGGUAGUGGCGGACCCUCCCGGAGCCUCCUUUGCGUAGUAACUUUACGUCUCGCACUGGGAUCCGGAGGGACUCUUGCCGUAAAACCCCCAAUUUCCAAAGGUGACCUCGGAUCAGUAG